GUUCAUAAACAUUUGACACCGACUGUCCGGUUGACUGUUGCUGCUGGAAACACAGGCGACUUUCUAAUGCCAUGUUCUGACGAACGCGAGGAACGCAGGAGUGUGCUUCUGGGCUUCCUUUCAAGCAAUGGCCCAGAUCAUCGAAAUUCUCCUGCUGUCCAAAUCCCUUGUUGCUGCUCGACAUCGGCACGCCUGGCUAUCAGCUGCGCCGCCACUGAAUCUUCACGUGUGUUAGGAAGGAGAGCGCCCGGCUUUUCUGACGUCAUUCCUUGCCCGAACCUCGAGCAACGCUGUCGAACGUCAGCGACGGCGUUAUAUGCGAUAACGGAAAGUUUAGAAGAACGCGCCGCUUCCUACCACGCUAGUGGGCACGGAGGUACAAGCAGAAUGAAGGACUCAAAGCGCAUCUUUUUUUGUUGUGCAGGGACAUUGAAGAAAAUCCGGGGCCUGACAAGGCCAUGGUGGAACUAAUUCAGAUGGACAAAGAGACAAAUGAGCGCUGCAUUCGGACCGAAUCUAACCAAUAAAGUAUGUCACAGCCAAUGGCG
Dermacentor albipictus is the source of this 548-nucleotide non-coding RNA. The record is from RefSeq and is a predicted model, not a curated record. NCBI's taxonomy places the organism in Eukaryota, Metazoa, Arthropoda, Arachnida, Ixodida, Ixodidae.